GAUGAACGCUAGCUACAGGCUUAACACAUGCAAGUCGAGGGGAAACGCCAUCGUAAGCUUGCUUUUGAUGGGCGUCGACCGGCGUACGGGUGAGUAACGCGUAUCCAACCUGCCCAUCACUUGGGAAUAACCUUGCGAAAUUAAGACUAAUACCCAAUGAUAUCCCACGAAGGCAUCGGAAUGGGAUUAAAGAUUUAUCGGUGAUGGAUGGGGAUGCGUCUGAUUAGCUUGUUGGCGGGGUAACGGCCGACCAAGGCAACGAUCAGUAGGGGUUCUGAGGGGGAGGGCCCCCACGGGGGAACUGCGACACGGGCAAAACGACUACGCGAGGAAGCAGUGGGGAGGAUGGGGCGGUGAGCAAUGGCCUAAGCCUGCCAAGUAGAGGGCAGGAAGACGGGCGUAUGGGGUGUAAACUGCUGUUAUAAGGGAAUAACGUGGGUGACGAGUGACUUUUUGAAGGUACCUGAUAAAUAAGGACCGGCUAAUUCCGUG
This 492-nucleotide ribosomal RNA is filed under the name uncultured bacterium. Its description in RNAcentral is "partial 16S ribosomal RNA". It matches the Rfam family "Bacterial small subunit ribosomal RNA", at positions 28 to 507 of the family's 1533-position model. The record is from RNAcentral.